Molecule: ribosomal RNA, 119 nt
Filed under: Pteropus alecto (black flying fox)
Lineage: Eukaryota; Metazoa; Chordata; Mammalia; Chiroptera; Pteropodidae
Source: RNAcentral
GUCUACAACCGUGCCACCCUGAAUAAGAGGGAUCCCGUCUGAUCUCGGAAGCUAAGCAGUGUCGGGCCUGGUUAGUACUUGGAUGGGAGACCACCUAGAAAGAUCAGUUGCUGUAGGCG